RNAcentral lists this small nuclear RNA (20 nucleotides) under Arabidopsis thaliana (thale cress). RNAcentral describes it as "snRNA_13428". Lineage: Eukaryota; Viridiplantae; Streptophyta; Magnoliopsida; Brassicales; Brassicaceae. The record is from RNAcentral.
GGAAGCUGAUUGGCGGGAUC